GAGUUUGAUCGUGGCUCAGAUUGAACGCUGGCGGCAUGCCUUACACAUGCAAGUCGAACGGCAGCACGGGAGCCUGCUCCUGGUGGCGAGUGGCGAACGGGUGAGUAAUGCAUCGGAACGUAUCCUGGAGUGGGGGAUAACGUAGCGAAAGUUACGCUAAUACCGCAUAUUCUGUGAGCAGGAAAGCGGGGGACCUUCGGGCCUCGCGCUCUUGGAGCGGCCGAUGUCGGAUUAGCUAGUUGGUGAGGUAAAGGCUCACCAAGGCGACGAUCCGUAGCAGGUCUGAGAGGAUGAUCUGCCACACUGGAACUGAGACACGGUCCAGACUCCUACGGGAGGCAGCGAGUGGGGAAUUUUGGACAAUGGGGGCAACCCUGAUCCAGCCAUGCCGCGUGAGUGAAGAAGGCCU
RNAcentral lists this ribosomal RNA (409 nucleotides) under bacterium enrichment culture clone ALO1_GLFRUDD03GVQG1. Its description in RNAcentral is "bacterial SSU rRNA". It matches the Rfam family "Bacterial small subunit ribosomal RNA", at positions 9 to 417 of the family's 1533-position model. The record is from RNAcentral.